RNAcentral lists this ribosomal RNA (1242 nucleotides) under metagenome. RNAcentral describes it as "SSU rRNA". It matches the Rfam family "Eukaryotic small subunit ribosomal RNA", at positions 391 to 1658 of the family's 1831-position model. The record is from RNAcentral.
UGAGCCUGAGAAACGGCUACCACAUCCAAGGAAGGCAGCAGGCGCGCAAAUUACCCACUCCCGGCACGGGGAGGUAGUGACGAAAAAUAACGAUACGGAACUCAUACGAGGCUCCGUAAUCGGAAUGGGUACACUUUAAAUCCUUUAACGAGGAUCUAUUGGAGGGCAAGUCUGGUGCCAGCAGCCGCGGUAAUUCCAGCUCCAAUAGCGUAUAUUAAAGUUGUUGUGGUUAAAAAGCUCGUAGUUGGAUCUCGGUUUCGGGUGAAUGGUGCACCUUGCGGUGUUUACUAUUUAUUCGGACGAUUUUGUUGGUUCGUUCCUGGUUCUCUUAAUCGAGUGCCUUGAGUGGCCAACACGUUUACUUUGAAAAAAAUUGGAGUGCUCAAAGCAGGCGCUACAGCCUGAACAUUAGUGCAUGGAAUAAUGGAAUAGGAUCUCGGUUCUAUUUCGUUGGCUUUCGGAGUCGAGGUAAUGAUUAAUAGGGACAGACGGGGGCAUUCGUACUGCGACGUUAGAGGUGAAAUUCUUGGAUCGUCGCAAGACGAACUACUGCGAAAGCAUUUGCCAAGAAUGUCUUCAUUAAUCAAGAACGAAAGUUAGAGGUUCGAAGGCGAUCAGAUACCGCCCUAGUUCUAACCAUAAACGAUGUCGACCGGCAAUCUGCUCUCGUUAAAUUAAUGACUGAGCAGGCGGCCUGCUGGAAACAAGAGUAUUUGGAUUCCAGGGGGAGUAUGGUUGCAAAGCUGAAACUUAAAAGAAUUGACGGAAGGGCACCACCAGGAGUGGAGCCUGCGGCUUAAUUUGACCCAACACGGGAAAUCUCACCAGGCCCGGACACCGGAAGGAUUGACAGAUUGAGAGCUCUUUCUUGAUUCGGUGGGCGGUGGUGCAUGGCCGUUCUUAGUUGGUGGAGCGAUUCGUCUGGUUAAUUCCGAUAACGAACGAGACUCUGGCCUACUAAAUAGACGUCAAAUCUUUUAUAGGUUUGUCGUAUGCUUCUUAGAGGGACGGGCGGCGUUUAGCCGCACGAGAAUGAGCAAUAACAGGUCUGUGAUGCCCUUAGAUGUUCUGGGCCGCACGCGCGCUACACUGAAGAAAUCAGCGUGUGUUCCUCAUCCGAAAGGAUUGGGUAACCCGUUGAACCUUCUUCGUGGUGGGGAUUGGGGAUCGCAAUUAUUCCCCAUGAACGAGGAAUUCCCAGUAGGCGCGAGUCAUUAGCUUGCGUCGAUUACGUCCCUGCCC